CACGUUUAAAGAGAAAAUGAAUUUGAAUCGUUCAUCGCGAUUUGAUUUGAACCGUACGAUCGCAUUUAAAAAGGAGACAAAUCUGGACUAUUCAUCGUGUUUAAUCGUGACCGUCUAAUCGCGCCUGAGGAGGGAAUGAAUUCGGAUUGUCCAUGUGUGCUGGAACAAAUCCAGAUCAUCUGAUCGCUGGUACGCAGAUUGUCAGCGUGGCACUGAGUCAGCACGCCUUGCCACGCGGUGUACUCUGGUUCGUCGGGACUACUGAUUUGGCGGUCCUACAUGACACAUUUUUUUUAAAUUGUUUUUUGACCCCCAAUUUUUAUUUUUCUUUUAAAAAU
RNAcentral lists this long non-coding RNA (338 nucleotides) under Carica papaya (papaya). Its description in RNAcentral is "long non-coding RNA (CPAP_LNC005052)". The record is from RNAcentral. Lineage: Eukaryota; Viridiplantae; Streptophyta; Magnoliopsida; Brassicales; Caricaceae.